Molecule: ribosomal RNA, 335 nt
Filed under: uncultured bacterium
Lineage: Bacteria
Description: bacterial SSU rRNA
Rfam family: Bacterial small subunit ribosomal RNA
Source: RNAcentral
GGCUGUCGUCAGCUCGUGUCGUGAGAUGUUGGGUUUAAGUCCCGCAACGAGCGCAACCCCCUAUGGUUAGUUACCAGCAUGUAAUGGUGGGGACUCUAGCCAGACCGCCUGCCAAGCAGAGAGGAAGGAGGGGAUGACGUCAAGUCAUCAUGGCCCUUACGCCCAGGGCUACACACGUGCUACAAUGGCCGGUACAAAGGUUUGCGAGGCGGUAACGCUGAGCCAAUCUCAAAAAGCCGGUCACAGUUCGGAUUGAGGGCUGCAACUCGCCCUUAUGAAGCUGGAAUCGCUAGUAAUCGCAAAUCAGCAAUGUUGCGGUGAAUACGUUCCCGGAC